Molecule: transfer RNA, 74 nt
Filed under: Synodus foetens (inshore lizardfish)
Lineage: Eukaryota; Metazoa; Chordata; Actinopteri; Aulopiformes; Synodontidae
Description: tRNA-Leu
Rfam family: tRNA
About the family: Transfer RNA (tRNA) molecules are approximately 80 nucleotides in length. Their secondary structure includes four short double-helical elements and three loops (D, anti-codon, and T loops).
Source: RNAcentral
GUUGAAGUGGCAGACUCUGGCCAUUGCAAUAGACCUAAGCUCUCUCUACAGGGGUUCAAAUCCCCUCUUCAACU